UUUACUUUCAUUCAGACACAUUUAACUUUCUAUUUUGCACUGAUAUAGGCCCACCUGAUCGAUUUGCUUUUCCACAAUGAAGUAAACCACACUGACCCCAAAUCUGUGUAAAGUGUCGAAUUCCUUAGACUGCAUGACUUAUGCUCAUAUAAAGCAAUAUGGCCUGACCACUCCUGACAGGACCAUUGAUUCAACACCGUGAAACAAACAAAUCAAAAAUAGCACACGGAAAACAACCAAGAUGGGAUUUCACUCACUGGUCAUCCUUUCUGACAGAUUUCCUCAUCUUAUUAUUUCCCCACUGGAGCCAAAGUGCUGCACCUGCCAAUAAUUUCAAAAAGAUGCUCCUAAAGUCUCCUGUGUUCGUCUCCCACUGUCAUCUCGAUGCUGAGACCCAGCAAGCUGGCAGGGGCUGACCCUGAGGUGCUGGGAAUUGUGGGUAGUGGGAUUACCUAUGGUGGCAUAGUC
This is a long non-coding RNA of Onychostoma macrolepis, 468 nucleotides long. RefSeq lists it as uncharacterized. The transcript is spliced from 3 exons. The record is from RefSeq and is a predicted model, not a curated record. Lineage: Eukaryota; Metazoa; Chordata; Actinopteri; Cypriniformes; Cyprinidae.